AUUGACAGCUUUCUUUCUUCCUAACACAUGCAAGUCGAACGGCAGCACAGUAAGAGCUUGCUCUUACGGGUGGCGAGUGGCGGACGGGUGAGGAAUACAUCGGAAUCUACUUUUUCGUGGGGGAUAACGUAGGGAAACUUACGCUAAUACCGCAUACGACCUACGGGUGAAAGCAGGGGAUCUUCGGACCUUGCGCGAUUGAAUGAGCCGAUGUCGGAUUAGCUAGUUGGCGGGGUAAAGGCCCACCAAGGCGACGAUCCGUAGCUGGUCUGAGAGGAUGAUCAGCCACACUGGAACUGAGACACGGUCCAGACUCCUACGGGAGGCAGCAGUGGGGAAUAUUGGACAAUGGGCGCAAGCCUGAUCCAGCCAUACCGCGUGGGUGAAGAAGGCCUUCGGGUUGUAAAGCCCUUUUGUUGGGAAAGAAAAGCAGCAGGUUAAUACCCCGCUGUUCUGACGGUACCCAAAGAAUAAGCACCGGCUAACUUCGUG
Molecule: ribosomal RNA, 492 nt
Filed under: uncultured bacterium
Lineage: Bacteria
Description: partial 16S ribosomal RNA
Rfam family: Bacterial small subunit ribosomal RNA
Source: RNAcentral